Molecule: unclassified non-coding RNA, 231 nt
Filed under: Hevea brasiliensis (rubber tree)
Lineage: Eukaryota; Viridiplantae; Streptophyta; Magnoliopsida; Malpighiales; Euphorbiaceae
Source: RNAcentral
AUGGAGCCGUGGGACGGCCCCGCCGCGAUUGCCUUCACCGACGGCCGCCAGAUCGGCGCCACGCUCGAUCGCAACGGCCUUCGUCCGGCGCGUUAUCUCGUCACCAAGGACGACCGCAUCGUGAUGGNAUGGGCGUGCUGACGAUUCCCGAGGACCAGAUCAUCACCAAGUGGCGCUUGCAGCCCGGCAAGAUGCUGCUGGUCGACCUCGAGCAGGGUCGCCUCAUUCCCG